RNAcentral lists this ribosomal RNA (466 nucleotides) under uncultured bacterium. Its description in RNAcentral is "partial 16S ribosomal RNA". It matches the Rfam family "Bacterial small subunit ribosomal RNA", at positions 28 to 505 of the family's 1533-position model. The record is from RNAcentral.
GACGAACGCUGGCGGCGUGCUUAACACAAGCAAGUCGAACGGAAAGGCCCUGCUUUUGUGGGGUGCUCGAGUGGCGAACGGGUGAGUAACACGUGAGUAACCUGCCCUUGACUUUGGGAUAACUUCAGGAAACUGGGGCUAAUACCGGAUAGGAGCUCCUGCUGCAUGGUGGGGGUUGGAAAGUUUCGGCGGUUGGGGAUGGACUCGCGGCUUAUCAGCUUGUUGGUGGGGUAGUGGCUUACCAAGGCUUUGACGGGUAGCCGGCCUGAGAGGGUGACCGGCCACAUUGGGACUGAGAUACGGCCCAGACUCCUACGGGAGGCAGCAGUGGGGAAUAUUGCACAAUGGGCGGAAGCCUGAUGCAGCAACGCCGCGUGCGGGAUGACGGCCUUCGGGUUGUAAACCGCUUUCGCCUGUGACGAAGCGUGAGUGACGGUAAUGGGUAAAGAAGCACCGGCUAACUACG